GUGUUCGUUAUUUAGGGCGCAUGGUGGAUGCCUUGGCAUGCUGGGCCGAUGAAGGACGUGUAAGGCUGCGUUAAGCCUCGGGGAGUUGUCAAUAGAGCGUUGAUCCGAGGAUGUCCGAAUGGGGAAACCUGGCACCUGUUAUGGGGUGUUACCCUUCAGUGAAUUCAUAGCUGUUGUGGGGGUUUACGCGGGGAAGUGAAACAUCUCAGUACCCGUAGGAGAAGAAAAUAAAAUAUGAUUCUGCUAGUAGUGGCGAACGAACGUGGAUGAGGCUAAACCGUGUGCAUGUGAUACUUGGUAGGGGUUGUGUGUGCGGUGUUGUGGGCCCCAACGUGCGGUGACUACCAUCAUCGUGCUUGUGUGUUGUUGUUAGGUGAAGUGGUGUGGAAACGCCCACCGUAGAGGGUGAUAGUCCCGUAGUUGAAGGCUUCAAUGCAUGGGUUGUUGGGUUGCCCGAGUAGCAGCGGGCUCGUGGAAUCUGCUGUGAAUCUGCCGGGACCACCCGGUAAGCCUAAAUACUCAGUGUGACCGAUAGUGUAUGAGUACCGUGAGGGAAUGGUGAAAAGUACCCCGGGAGGGGAGUGAAAUAGUUCCUGAAACCAUGUGCUUACAAUCCGUCAGAGCACCUGUAUGUGUGUGAUGGCGUGCCUUUUGAAGAAUGAGCCUGCGAGUCAGCGGCAUGUCGCGAGGUUAACCCGUGUGGGGUAGCCGUAGGGAAACCGAAUCCUCAUGGGGUGUUUAGUGGCAUGUCCUGGACCCGAAGCGGGGUGAUCUACCCAUGGCCAGUGUGAAGCAGUAGUAAGAUGCUGUGGAGGCGCGAACCCACGUAGGUUGAAAACUGCGGGGAUGAGCUGUGGGUAGGGGUGAAAGGCCAAUCAAACUCCGUGAUAGCUGGUUCUCCCCGAAAUGCAUUUAGGUGCAGCGUCGCAUUAGCUUGGUGGAGGUAGAGCUACUGGUUGGUUGAGCGGGACUACAAUCUUAGCAAUGUCAGCCAAACUCCGAAUGCCACUAAUUGUGUUGUGCGGCAGUGAGACUGUGGGGGAUAAGCUUCAUAGUCGAGAGGGAAACAGCCCAGAUCGCCGGUUAAGGCCCCUAAGGGUGUGCUAAGUGGAAAAGGAUGUGGGAUCGCGAAGACAGCCAGGAGGUUGGCUUAGAAGCAGCCAUCCUUGAAAGAGUGCGUAAUAGCUCACUGGUCGAGUGGUCCUGCGCCGACAAUGUAGUGGGGCUCAAGCACACCGCCGAAGCCGCGGCAANNNNNNNNNNNNNNNNNNNNNNNNNNNNNNNNNNNNNNNNNNNNNNNNNNNNNNNNNNNNNNNNNNNNNNNNNNNNNNNNNNNNNNNNNNNNNNNNNNNNUUGUUGAUGUCGUGGGGCCUGAUGUGUGGUUCAAGUGAUGGGGUGACACAGUGUAGUAGCCAUGCCGCUUAGUGGAUUGUUGGUGUAAGCGUGUGAGGUGGUGUGUAGGCAAAUCCGCACACCGUUUAACCUGAGGCGUGAUGCGUAGCCCAAAUGUGGGUGAAGUUGGUGAUCUAGUACUGUCGAGAAAAGCCUCUAGCGAUGUGGAUGUAUGGCCCGUACCCUAAACCGACACAGGUGGUCAGGUUGAAAAUACUAAGGCGUUCGGGUGAACUGUGGUUAAGGAACUCGGCAAAAUGCCCCCGUAACUUCGGGAGAAGGGGGACCACACGACUUUGACACUUCUUGCAAGUGUUGUGGGUUGUGGGGUCGCAGAGAAUAGAGGGAAGCGACUGUUUAUCAAAAACACAGGUCCAUGCGAAGACGUUAAGUUGAUGUAUAUGGACUGACGCCUGCCCGGUGCUGGAAGGUUAAGAGGACCGGUUAGUCACCUUUGGUGGCGAAGCUGAGAAUUUAAGCCCCAGUAAACGGCGGUGGUAACUAUAACCAUCCUAAGGUAGCGAAAUUCCUUGUCGGGUAAGUUCCGACCUGCACGAAUGGCGUAACGACUUCUCUGCUGUCUCAACCACAGGCCCGGUGAAAUUGCACUACGAGUAAAGAUGCUCGUUACGCGCGGCAGGACGAAAAGACCCCGGGACCUUCACUAUAGCUUGGUAUUGGUGUUCGGUUCGGUUUGUGUAGGAUAGGUGGGAGACUAUGAGACGUGUGCGCCAGCACGCGUGGAGUCGUUGUUGAAAUACCACUCUGAUCGGAUUGGAUACCUUAACCUUGGCCCAUGAUCUGGGUUGGGGACAGUGCCUGGUGGGUAGUUUAACUGGGGCGGUUGCCUCCCAAAAUGUAACGGAGGCGCCCAAAGGUUCCCUCAGCCUGGUUGGCAAUCAGGUAGCGAGUGUAAGUGCACAAGGGAGCUUGACUGUGAGACAGACAUGUCGAACAGGGACGAAAGUCGGGACUAGUGAUCCGGCACCUACUUGUGGAUGUGGUGUCGCUCAACGGAUAAAAGGUACCCCGGGGAUAACAGGCUGAUCUUCCCCAAGAGUCCAUAUCGACGGGAUGGUUUGGCACCUCGAUGUCGGCUCGUCGCAUCCUGGGGCUGGAGUAGGUCCCAAGGGUUGGGCUGUUCGCCCAUUAAAGCGGCACGCGAGCUGGGUUCAGAACGUCGUGAGACAGUUCGGUCUCUAUCCGCCGCGCGCGUUGAAACUUGAAGAAGGCUGUCCCUAGUACGAGAGGACCGGGACGGACGUACCUCUAGUGUGCCAGUUGUUCCGCCAGGAGCAUCGCUGGUUGGCUACGUACGGAAGGGAUAACCGCUGAAAGCAUCUAAGCGGGAAGCCUGUUUUAAGAUGAGGUUUCAUUUGAGGUCCCCCAAAGACGAUGGGGUUGAUAGGCCAGACCUGGACGCACCGCAAGGUGUGAAGGCUACUGGUACUAAUAGACCAAAACAAACACAC
This 2864-nucleotide ribosomal RNA is filed under the name Corynebacterium intestinale. RNAcentral describes it as "23S ribosomal RNA". It matches the Rfam family "Bacterial large subunit ribosomal RNA". The record is from RNAcentral. Lineage: Bacteria; Bacillati; Actinomycetota; Actinomycetes; Mycobacteriales; Corynebacteriaceae.